GAUGAACGCUGGCGGCGUGCUUAACACAUGCAAGUCGAACGAUGAAGCCCAGCUUGCUGGGUGGAUUAGUGGCGAACGGGUGAGUAACACGUGAGUAACCUGCCCUUGACUCUGGGAUAAGCCUGGGAAACUGGUUCUAAUACUGGAUAUGACUUCUCAUCGCAUGGUGGGGGGUGGAAAGAUUUAUUGGUCUUGGAUGGACUCGCGGCCUAUCAGCUUGUUGGUGAGGUAAUGGCUCACCAAGGCGACGACGGGUAGCCGGCCUGAGAGGGUGACCGGCCAAACUGGGACUGAGACACGGCCCAGACUCCUACGGGAGGCAGCAGUGGGGAAUAGUGCACAAUGGGAGCAAGCCUGAUGCAGCGACGCCGCGUGAGGGAUGACGGCAUUCGGGUUGUAAACCUCUUUCAGUAGGGAAGAAGCGAGAGUGACGGUACCUGCAGAAGAAGCGCCGGCUAACUACGUG
RNAcentral lists this ribosomal RNA (466 nucleotides) under uncultured bacterium. RNAcentral describes it as "partial 16S ribosomal RNA". It matches the Rfam family "Bacterial small subunit ribosomal RNA", at positions 28 to 507 of the family's 1533-position model. The record is from RNAcentral.